This 30-nucleotide transfer RNA is filed under the name Canis lupus (wolf). RNAcentral's name for it is "partial tRNA-Leu". The record is from RNAcentral. Lineage: Eukaryota; Metazoa; Chordata; Mammalia; Carnivora; Canidae.
CUAUCAGAGGUUCAAUUCCUCUCCCUAACA